AUAAGUGGACUCAAACUUUGUUACGAGGACAUAUUUUCAGGGCAGGGCAAGGGAUGAGUCAUAGGUAUCAUAUGGAAAAAUCAUAGCGGAGCCGCGCGCGGAGCCCCAUAGGUAUAGAAAUGGUCUAUAACUAGGCGACUCAGUUUUUUUGGUCAAUGACGUCAUUGUCACAAGCUGCCAGCCAGCCGCGAUCUGCCUCGGCACAGGCCUCCAGAGCGCGCAAAACAAUAUGGCGGAUGAGUAUUUCUACCCCUCUCAAAAACACACGAAAACUGACUGCAGAAAUGCCAAGAAUUGUCGAAAAAGAAGUUCUUGAAAACAAUCAUUCGUGGGAAUGCUAACCACGGAUAUGAACUUGUCUAAUUAUAUGCAAAAGACUGUGUAAAAGCAUGGUUGAAAGUUUUUAGUCUUUGUGCUCGAGUCAAGGUCAGCUGAAAUGUCAGAGUAAGCCACAAGAUAAAGAAAGAAAAAACAAGCUAAUUAUAUGGACACCUUCUCCGACAAGUGCUCCUAUGUAUUUAUUCUUGCACUAGCAGACGUAGGUUAAUCUCAGCCAGAGAUUCUGAAAUCAAGCUGAGACACAAGCUGCUGGCUAAGAGGCAUGACCAGGGCAUGAUGUAUACAUAUAAGGCAUUGGUAUUUAAUGUAGGUCACCAAAAAUAAACACAUAUAAAGCAACAAAAAGUAAGAUAAUAUUUUAAUGGAAAAAUUGUUCUAAAAAAAUGAACUAGAGUUAUAAAAGUAAAAAACCUAGUUUUUUUUUCAAGUUAGCCUGACAGGUUCUUGUAUAAUGUGUGGUUAGUGACAUUUAGGCUAUUUAGGUUCAUAGUCUCUUGCUAUUACAAUGAAUCAUGGUAAAUUAAUUGAGGUAGUAAGUUAAUCAUAAAAAUCAAAAACAGGUCUCCUAUAUGAUCCCUUAAGAUCAUAUUUUUAAAACUAUUUAGAAAUCAAUUUUCUUAUUUCAACCUAUUUCAAAUUAUAGGCUUAAUAGAUGCUUAUAAAAAGGAUUAUAAUUCGAUAAUUUUAGGUUAACAGGUUUAUUCUAGGUUCUUAUAUGUGGUUCUUAACUGUAUAAUAAAAUAAUGUACUCAGAAUUUUUUCAAAAUAUGUUGGAGUGCUUUUAAUCCACCCUUAGCAAAGUUACAUUCUAAAACACAAGAGAGAAGGUUAAUAAAGAUAUUUUUCCAACUUUUGAAUUGCUUACUUUGAAACUUACACAAGAGAAAGAAAAUGAUAAAGCCCUAUAUUUGCAAGUUAAGUAAAGUAAUUUAAAUAAGUAAAAGGAAGUGGGACAGAACAGGCAGGGAAUUAGUACUUAUACCUUAAAUCCACUAUGAUAGUGUGAUUUGCUAAUAUACUUAUUAAUGUAUAGAAAUUUGAUAUGUAUUUGUUUAUUGUUUUUAAUUUUGAAGAGAAUAAAAUAGCACCCAAUUUUGGUGAGGAACUGUAAUUGAUCCUCAUUUUAAAAUAAAUACGACCUCCCUUCACACUUGAAAGCCUUCCCUGUUAAUCAAAGUAUAAAUUUAUUUUGCUACUUUUGCUGUAUCAGUUGUCUAUCAAGAAUAGUUUAGUUAAUGAUAUCCUUGUCGAUAAAUAAAUGUCAAUAAAUACUUUAUUUUACCUUCAACAAAAAA
Molecule: long non-coding RNA, 1634 nt
Organism: Nematostella vectensis (starlet sea anemone)
Lineage: Eukaryota; Metazoa; Cnidaria; Anthozoa; Actiniaria; Edwardsiidae
Exons: 2
Source: RefSeq, a predicted model, not a curated record